AUGUCGGACGCUUUUAGACCCAUCUCGCUUCAAAGUUGCCCAGUUAAAGCCAUCACUAAACUUCUCGCUAGUCAUCUAAAAAAGUCUGCUCCUCUACUGGUACAUCCGGAUCAGACCGGCUCUUUAUCAGGUCGCACUAUCUCUGAAAAUUUUCUUUACGCGAGUAUCAUUCUACAUGUUUGUGCUAGAAAAAAGACUCCCACCAUGGUCAUUAAGCUUGAUUUCUCUAAGGCGUUUGACUCUAUAUGCCGGCCUUCCCUACUUGCUAUUCUGGCUGCUCGGGGCUUUUCGAACAAGUGGAUUGGCUGGAUCAACUUCCUCCUUACUACUGGUAAAAUGGUUAUCCUCCUCAAUGGAGUGCCUGGCCCUUGGACCGAUUGCAAAAAUGGCUUACGUUAGGGGGAUCCCCUCUGCCCCUUCCUAUUCAUAAUAGUCACAGAUGUCCUCCGAAGAAUGAUCAUAAAAGCUUGUGAUCAGAAUGUACUCGCCCACCCUAUCUCUCCUACACUCCCUUGCCCGGUCCUACAAUAUGCAGAUGACACACUAAUCAUAAUUAAGGCAGAUGCUUCAGCCGCCGCAAAUCUCAAACGUAUCCUAGACGAUUUUUCUAGUGCCACAGGGCUCUCCAUUAAUUUCUCCAAAACCACGUUUGCCCCCCUAAACAUUGAGCCAGACCUCACCGCCUCUUUGGCCGAGACAGUGGCCACCUCAGUUGCCACCUUCCCACAAAAAUACCUUGGACUUCCCCUCUCUCUGCGUAAACUCCCUCCCUCUGCGUUUUAA
RNAcentral lists this ribosomal RNA (783 nucleotides) under Triticum aestivum (bread wheat). RNAcentral's name for it is "partial small subunit ribosomal RNA". The record is from RNAcentral. Lineage: Eukaryota; Viridiplantae; Streptophyta; Magnoliopsida; Poales; Poaceae.